GAUGAAGAACGCAGCAAAAUGCGAUAAGUAAUGUGAAUUGCAGAAUUCAGUGAAUCAUCGAAUCUUUGAACGCACAUUGCGCCCGCUGGUAUUCCGGCGGGCAUGCCUGUUCGAGCGUCAUUUCAACCCUCAAGCCCCCGGGUUUGGUGUUGGGGAUCGGCUCUGCCUUACGGCGGUGCCGCCCCCGAAAUACAUUGGCGGUCUCGCUGCAGCCUCCAUUGCGUAGUAGCUAACACCUCGCAACUGGAACGCGGCGCGGCCAUGCCGUAAAACCCCAACUUCUGACUGUUGACCUCGGAUCAGGUAGGAAUACCCGCUGAACUUAAGCAUAUCAAUAAGCGGAGGA
RNAcentral lists this unclassified non-coding RNA (346 nucleotides) under soil metagenome. RNAcentral describes it as "partial contains 5.8S ribosomal RNA, internal transcribed spacer 2, and large subunit ribosomal RNA". The stretch from base 1 to 120 matches the Rfam family "5.8S ribosomal RNA", at positions 35 to 154 of the family's 154-position model. The record is from RNAcentral.